Long non-coding RNA from Gasterosteus aculeatus aculeatus (three-spined stickleback), 3245 nucleotides. Lineage: Eukaryota; Metazoa; Chordata; Actinopteri; Perciformes; Gasterosteidae. The record is from Ensembl.
CGCUGACAAAAGCUCUGAAAGACAGAAUGUUGAGCCAUGACCUCCUCCUCCUCCUCCUGACGGCUCAACAAUACCGUCAUUAUUCCUUCCCUAGCAGGGUCUCAGGUGCUCCGCAGAUGCGGUGGAGGACGGCACCUGGAACCCGUUGGGGGGGGAGGUGUUGGAGAAGAGACAAUGCAGCUCGGUGCACGAGGGCCCGGGCUUUGUCACGGCUGUGGUGGGGAGGGUUCCUGGCACCGUGAUUUGAUGCACAAAGAAAAACAAAAUCACAUUGCCAGGGAUUUCCACUCCUUCACGGCACCGCGGGUGACCCGCCCGCGUUGUAUUUCCACAGCGGGAUGCCUUUGUGUUGUCUCCUUCAGACACAAAGUUAUCUGAGACUGGAUGUUGCUACGGAUUCCGAAGGAGUAAAUACUGGAGAGGUUUGAACGGGUUUUGUGAUCAGCUCCCUCAGUGGAUUUCAAGAGGUUAACCAGUUUAUCACAAAACUGCAAAAAAUGGGUUUAAAGCGUGCAGUUGAAUGCGCAUAUGUCUAAAGAUGUAACUGUCUUCACCAUUCUCACAUUUCAUGUCAAUCACUCGAUGUAAAAGCACACAAGAGCCUACAAUUAUACAUGUUUACACAACAAGUUUUGCCUCUCAGAAUUUACAGUAGAUUCAUUAACAGUGAGACGAUUUUCAUGUUUCAAAUGAAGGACACACUUUAAACAUUUUACAAAUGUGCCCCGUCAAAGGGGAAGCAGACCUCAACAUUAGAAGCAUUGCAAAAAUGUACCACUGAGCAGUCACGUAAAGGUCGGCGUAGACCUGAAUUCGCUCCAAAGCCAGCCCCCCACUUGCUGAAGGCACAGAGCUUAGCUAAUUGGUGAGCAGUGAUCCCUGCUAUGUGUUGUUCACAGUGGCUAAGUUCAGUGCCUGAGGUGAAAUAGGGGAUUCGACGGAGGGGAUUUGUUCGGGUGAAUGGAAAGAUCCUGAUGAUCUCGGAUAUGAAGACAGGAGGAGGAAGGAAGACGGGCGGGGGGAGAAAUUACAAAAAAAAGAAAGAAAGCAAAGUAAAAGUAAAGGUUAUGAUCCCAUAAAGGAGCAAUGUGGGGUUCAUGGUUUAAUGGAGCAAUACAGUCCAGACAAGCUUUAUCGUUUUCUUUAUUGUUUGCCUAAAGCAACAACGUCUUAUUUUACCCCAGUUAUAACCGUAGACAAGAAUCUUCAUGCAUGCCAAAUACGUUUGACAGCGCAUCACUGAGACAGUUUGAACCAGGUUCAAUGUGGACUUAACAGUUCCACAGGUUGUAUUUGAGGAAUGUGGUGCUAAAUGUCAGAUCCGUCUGGGCAUGCCCCGUUCGUGUCCAACUGUGUUUGCUCAGGGCGAGUGUCCCGGUUUGUUGGUGCCACAGCCUGGACCUUUAUGUCUGAGGAGAAGCCUGCGUGCGCCGAGUUCACAGUUUGAUAACCCCUCGCAGUGAUUGUCAGAGCCUAGCAACCGUUGCUACCCACAGCAGGCCCGUAAACCUUUGAAUUCAAAAGCGGUGGGUUGUCGCACAAAGGACAGUCUGCACUCACCAUUUAGAGACUUUGGAGAUUUCUGUCCUUUUGUAGCUUGUCCAAACACAAGUGUAAAGAAUUAAAUUAAAUCAAGCUACAUGUGUUAGGUCAUCCGGCUAUUCAUUAAUAAUCAAUAAAAAAUAAACAAUAACCCUGAUAUUCCAUGUCCACGUCUUUGGUUUGGAUCACCAACCGGAUAGAAUUGAUAACUUUCUGCUUGGGACAUGAGCUUUAGCGUUUUAGUUAAAUAUCCUUUGGUAAAAGGUUUAAUAACUGAGUUAGCAAUGUUAUAAACCUUCAGGAGAUGAAAUGUUAUUUCUGCAGUAUCUGCAGUUCACUUUUAGUAAUGCAAAGCUGCAUUUAUCUACUACAGUGCAAUUCUGCCACUGCCGUCAUUGUGAGUAAGUACCAUGCCAGAACACAAAGCACAACAGGAGUUGCAACUGCUGUGCUUGGUCAAUUUCCAAAGUGUUUCUAUUGUUCUCUGCAUGUUGCACAUCACAUCAUCCUUUUUGUUGGAUUUAAAGAAACACCUUCCAAUGAGGCCGCACGCUGCAUUUUCCUCCCGUGCCUACUGAACUGGUAUCAGUGUUUUUUCUAAAAACUGGCUCAGUUCAGCAGGAACAGGAGUGGAGUCCAUUAACAAUCGGGAUCGACCGAGUUUGUCAUUCAGCUUCGGCUUCACUAUUUGCACAGCACAUUUCCCUGGGACUUGUAACCUCUCCACUCAACGUGCAGCGAGACAGUCUCGGCUAAGAUUCAGCACUUUACUGUGCUCUUGUGUUUAGUUGACCUUAACCAAUGCAUUGAGUUUGCUUCAAGUCAUUGGCCUUGAUUAAAAUCAAACCUGAGCCGUCCAACCUGUCAGACGACGGCACCGAACCCUGAAGCGUCUUCAAGGGCGGUGCAGCUUGAGUUUCACAUGGCUGUCCCUUGCUUUGCUAAAACAUGAAUAUUUCAUGAGCAGAUUUACCAUUUUUUGCUUGAUAGGUGGGCCCUGGCGUCCUCAGCCGCUGUGUGAAUGCUAUUACAUACGGAUGCUGUCGAUCUUGGUGUUGUGCUGCUCAGCCUUCAUGUUUAUUUCAUUAUUCUGCAGAAAACACGCCACCCUCUCUCUGUCUGACUCUUUUUUUUCUGCCUUUUUGUGCUGUCAAAGGCCAGACUGUUACUGGAGUUUAUGUAGUCAUGUAAUCCCGGUUAAAUAUCUGCUGUGUUCGUGUAAUGUAUGUCACCCAGCAGCCUCCAUUAUUAGUGAUGGGGGACGUGAGCAAUGCUGCUUCUUCCGCAUUCUACAGAUAAAUUGCAGCCACCAAAGGAAAAAGCGCAUCAUCUUGAAGUCUCACACCCGUGGGGGAGUGGAAGGCUUAUUACCAAGCACGAUGAAUCUGCUCUUAACCAGCGACUCCUCUGAGCGUGGUUGGAACAUACAAUUGUACGUCUAUUACCCUGCGGAUGAAUGUUUCAUGCGAACUUGAGAUUAGAAAGGUAGGCAGGUAUUUUUCAUUGAUUGGUGUGAUUUUUAUCCCCGGGGUAUUUCAUCUACCUGAUUGUGGAUAACGGUGCGAAUGGAGCAUCAUUCUAAAUGUCAGAACAAUUCUACUGAUUUGGAGCAUGAUUUAUUUUGAUAUUACAGGUGCAACCAAUGUUUCAUUUCAUUAUGAAUCCAACUACUAUUUCAUUUUAAUAAAAAUUUGAAGAGCCUU